This is a long non-coding RNA of Cebus imitator (Panamanian white-faced capuchin), 169 nucleotides long. RefSeq lists it as uncharacterized. The record is from RefSeq and is a predicted model, not a curated record. The transcript is spliced from 4 exons. Lineage: Eukaryota; Metazoa; Chordata; Mammalia; Primates; Cebidae.
CAUUUGGGCAUCUACAACCACAUCAAUUCAAAAAGGCCUAAUCAAACUCUACUUCCUAACCUUCUUUAUUCCACCUAUCCUAGCGCUUCUCCUAACAAUUUAGCCCCCUCCCCGAGUUAAUUCAAUUGCAAUAUGCAUACCCAUAAAUAACUCCAAACAAGUCACUAAG